UACGUAGGGGGCAAGCGUUGUCCGGAAUCAUUGGGCGUAAAGAGCGUGUAGGCGGACUGGAAGGUCUGGUGUGAAAGCCCGGGGCUCAACCCCGGAGGGUCACUGGAAACCAACAGUCUUGAGUCCGGAAGAGGAGAGUGGAAUUCCUGGUGUAGCGGUGGAAUGCGCAGAUAUCAGGAGGAACACCUAUGGCGAAGGCAGCUCGCUGGUACGUGACUGACGCUGAGACACGAAAGCGUGGGGAGCUAACAGG
RNAcentral lists this ribosomal RNA (253 nucleotides) under uncultured bacterium. RNAcentral describes it as "partial 16S ribosomal RNA". It matches the Rfam family "Bacterial small subunit ribosomal RNA", at positions 524 to 776 of the family's 1533-position model. The record is from RNAcentral.